AUAAUGUUAACAAUAAUAAUGUUAACAGUAAUAAUAAUAAUAAUAAUAAUAGUAGUAAUAAUAACAAUUCGUUUUAUGAUUCAAAUGACUCGGUCCUACAACAAUUGGCUAUAAAAAAUCAAUUAAAUAACCAACAGCCAAUACAAAAAGAAAUGUUGUCAAAUAUUGGAACAAAAAUAUUACUAUCUUCUUUAAAUAAUAAUUCAUUAAAAGAUCAAAAACAAUUUUCUAUGUUUAUAGAAAACCAACAAAGAAAUCACAGUAUACCACUAACAUCAGCCGGAUUAAUGUUAUGUACCAAAAUAAAAAAUAAAAAUGAUGAAAAUAUAUAUUUUAUGAAAAAUGCAACACCUCAUAAUACUCAUUUUUCAUCAUCACAUGGUUCAAAUUCAAACAUAACUGAGAACAAUGUUGUUAGACAAGGGGUUUAUAAUGAACAGGUAAUAAAUAAUCAGUAUAUAAAAAAUACCAAUAAUAAAAAUGAUUGUAAUAAUAAAAAUUGUUGUAAUAAUAAAAAUGAUUGUAGUAAUAAAAAUUGUUGUAAUAAUUAUAAGAGUAACUGUACUAUUAACACUAGUAGUAGUAGUAGUAAUAGCAGUAGUAAUAAUAAUAAUAAUAGUAAUAAUAAUAAUAAUAAUUAUAAUAAUAAUAAUAAUAAUAAUAAUUAUAAUAAUAAUAAUAAUAAUAAUAGUAAUAAUAAUAAUAAUUAUAAUAAUAAUAGUAAUAAUAAUAAUAGUAAUAAUAAUAAUUAUAAUAAUAAUAAUAAUUAUAAUAAUAAUAGUAAUAAUAAUAAUAAUAAUAGUAAUAAUAAUAAUAAUAAUAAUAAUAAUUAUAAUAAUAAUAGUAAUAAUAAUAAUAAUAGUAAUAAUAAUAAUUAUAAUAAUAAUAAUAAUUAUAAUAAUAAUAAUAGUAAUAAUAAUAAUAAUUAUAAUAAUAAUAGUAAUAAUAAUAAUAAUAAUAGUAAUAAUAAUAAUAAUAAUAGUAAUAAUAAUAAUAAUUAUAAUAAUAAUAAUAAUAACAUAGUUAAUGAUAUAAAAAAUAAUAUACUAAAAAAUAUUAAUCAUACAGUAGGUAACUAUACUAGUAAUAUUAUACACGAUGUAAAUUCAUUAAAUAAAAUUAAUAAAUCAGAUUUGCUUUAUAAUUAUAUUAGUAAUAACCCAUCUAAUUAUACAAGUAUAGACAAUAAUUUUUAUAAUUCUAAAAUAAUACAAAACCAAUCAACAAAUAUACCAAAUAAUGUAAAUAAAUUAUUAAGAUGUGCUACUCAACCAUUUCCAAGUAUAAUCAAUGUGAACAAUAAUACAACAGUGGAUGAACAUAUAGAAUAUAAAAAUAAUGAACUUGAUGAAAGAACAAAUUUUAAAAAUAUAAAUGAAGAAAGUUUUAAUAAUUUAAAAAGUAGUACAAGUGUUGAAAAAAGAAGUAUCUCAUUAGCAUCAAAUAAAUUAACAAAUAAUAUAAAAUAUAUUCAUAAUAAUUAUGUGCAAACAAAACAACAAACUGAUAUGCAAUAUGUUUUUUUAGACAAUCCAAAAGUACAAGAAGAUUAUACAAAUAAUAUAAGUAUUAUACGCAAUAUAAAUAAUAUAAAUAAUAUAAAUAAUAUAAAUAAUAUAAAUAAUAUAAAUAAUAUAAAUAAUAUANNNNNNNNNNUAAAUAAUAUAAAUAAUAUAAAUAAUAUAAAUAAUAUAAAUAAUAUAUAUAAUAUAAAUAAUAUAAAUAAUUGUAGUUAUACGGAAAAUGAUUAUUUAGAUACUAACAGUGUUAGUGCAGAUACAAACAGUAUUAGUACAGAUAAUAAUAGUACUACUACUACAUAUAAUAAUAGUAUUAGUACAGAUAAUAAUAGUACUUAUAUGGGGAAUAAAAUUAUAUCAUUAAAUAAUAAUACUUAUACUAAAGAUAAUAAUUAUUCUCUUCAUAAUUUAUCACACUAUGAUUUAUCUUUACGUACACACAAUACAACACACCCAAUACAAAUACCUAUAAAUAAACAAAUGAAUUUUAUGUUUUUUAGUGUCAAUGGAAAUGAUAUAAAUAACCGCGUAUGUUAUACUCCCCAUACAAAUAAUUUAAUGGACCUAAACCAGCAUAACAAUAAUAUAAGAAAUAUUGGUAACAUAACAGAUAUUCCUAAUAUAUGUAACAUAGGGAAUAUACAUAAUCAGCCUAUUAGAUAUAAUAGUGCAAAUAUACAAAAUAAAAAUCAAACUGAUUUGAACCAACUAGGUUUUAUAUAUCAAAGGAUGAAUUCGCUUAAUGGUCAAUCAAUACGUUAUAUAUGUACGAAUGGAAAUCAACAUAGUCCCAAUCAACAUAGU
Molecule: long non-coding RNA, 2324 nt
Organism: Piliocolobus tephrosceles (Ugandan red Colobus)
Lineage: Eukaryota; Metazoa; Chordata; Mammalia; Primates; Cercopithecidae
Source: Ensembl